RNAcentral lists this ribosomal RNA (491 nucleotides) under uncultured bacterium. RNAcentral's name for it is "partial 16S ribosomal RNA". It matches the Rfam family "Bacterial small subunit ribosomal RNA", at positions 29 to 507 of the family's 1533-position model. The record is from RNAcentral.
GUGAACGCUGGCGGUAGGCCUCACCCCUGCCCGUCGAACGGCAGCACCGUAAGAGCUUGCUCUUACGGGUGGCGAGUGGCGGACGGGUGAGGAAUACAUCGGAAUCUACUUUUUCGUGGGGGAUAACGUAGGGAAACUUACGCUAAUACCGCAUACGACCUACGGGUGAAAGCAGGGGAUCUUCGGACCUUGCGCGAUUGAAUGAGCCGAUGUCGGAUUAGCUAGUUGGCGGGGUAAAGGCCCACCAAGGCGACGAUCCGUAGCUGGUCUGAGAGGAUGAUCAGCCACACUGGAACUGAGACACGGUCCAGACUCCUACGGGAGGCAGCAGUGGGGAAUAUUGGACAAUGGGCGCAAGCCUGAUCCAGCCAUACCGCGUGGGUGAAGAAGGCCUUCGGGUUGUAAAGCCCUUUUGUUGGGAAAGAAAAGCAGCAGGUUAAUACCCCGCUGUUCUGACGGUACCCAAAGAAUAAGCACCGGCUAACUUCGUG